This 656-nucleotide ribosomal RNA is filed under the name Distoseptispora saprophytica. RNAcentral describes it as "partial large subunit ribosomal RNA". It matches the Rfam family "Eukaryotic large subunit ribosomal RNA", at positions 90 to 774 of the family's 3401-position model. The record is from RNAcentral. Lineage: Eukaryota; Fungi; Ascomycota; Sordariomycetes; Distoseptisporaceae.
CGAGUGAAGCGGCAACAGCUCAGAUUUGAAAUCUGGUCCUAGCGGCCCGAGUUGUAAUCUGUAGAGGAUGCUUUUGGUCAGGUGCCUUCUGAGUCCCCUGGAACGGGGCGCCAGAGAGGGUGAGAGCCCCGUACGGUCGGACACCGAGCCUCUGUAAAGCUCCUUCGACGAGUCGAGUAGUUUGGGAAUGCUGCUCUAAAUGGGAGGUAAAUUUCUCCUAAAGCUAAAUAUAGGCCAGAGACCGAUAGCGCACAAGUAGAGUGAUCGAAAGAUGAAAAGCACUUUGAAAAGAGGGUUAAAUAGCACGUGAAAUUGCUGAAAGGGAAGCGCUUGUGACCAGACUUGCGCCCGGUGGAUCAGCUGGCGUUCUCGCCAGUGCACUCUGCCGGGCUCAGGCCAGCAUCGGUUCCGACGGGGGGACAAAGGCCGCUGGAACGUAGCUCCCCUCGGGGAGUGUUAUAGCCAGCGGUGUCAUACCCCCAGCCGGGACCGAGGAUCGCGCUCUGCAAGGAUGCUGGCGUAAUGGUCACCAGCGACCCGUCUUGAAACACGGACCAAGGAGUCAAGCAUUAGGGCGAGUCUUUGGGUGUAAAACCCGCAGGCGCAAUGAAAGUGAACGCAGGUGAGAGCUUCGGCGCAUCAUCGACCGAUCCUGA